GACGAACGCUGGCGGCGUGCUUAACACAUGCAAGUCGAACGGAAAGGCCCUGCUUUUGUGGGGUGCUCGAGUGGCGAACGGGUGAGUAACACGUGAGUAACCUGCCCUUGACUGUGGGAUAACUUCAGGAAACUGGGGCUAAUACCGGAUAGGAGCUCCUGCUGCAUGGUGGGGGUUGGAAAGUUUCGGCGGUUGGGGAUGGACUCGCGGCUUAUCAGCUUGUUGGUGGGGUAGUGGCUUACAAAGGCUUUGACGGGUAGCCGGCCUGAGAGGGUGACCGGCCACAUUGGGCCUGGGGUACGGCCCAGACUCCUACGGGAGGCAGCAGUGGGGAAUAUUGCACAAUGGGCGGAAGCCUGAUGCAGCAACGCCGCGUGCGGGAUGACGGCCUUCGGGUUGUAAACCGCUUUCGCCUGUGACGAAGCGUGAGUGACGGUAAUGGGUAAAGAAGCACCGGCUAACUACGUG
RNAcentral lists this ribosomal RNA (468 nucleotides) under uncultured bacterium. RNAcentral's name for it is "partial 16S ribosomal RNA". It matches the Rfam family "Bacterial small subunit ribosomal RNA", at positions 28 to 507 of the family's 1533-position model. The record is from RNAcentral.